This 242-nucleotide long non-coding RNA is filed under the name Sorghum bicolor (sorghum). RNAcentral describes it as "long non-coding RNA (SBIC_LNC017191)". Lineage: Eukaryota; Viridiplantae; Streptophyta; Magnoliopsida; Poales; Poaceae. The record is from RNAcentral.
CGUUAUGAGUACUAGGUUUGGAGUCAACCAGUCAACAGUGUCCCUGUGUGGAGCUUCCGUCGAAAGCGUUGUUUUCUUAUUGCUAUCAUUUUUGUAUAAGACUAUGUGAAUUAUUAUGUUCCGCUAUGUAAUAAACACUGCAAUGGUACAUUUGAGAUUUGUCUACUUAUGUGUGCGACUGUUUCUGGGGCACAUGUGAGUCUUUUAUGCAUCCUAUUUUGUUCUUAAAAUAUGGGUGUGAC